GAUCAGCUUAGUUGGUUAGAGCAUGUUGCUGAUAACGCCACAGGUGCAGGUUUGAUCCCCGUAUGGGACA
Non-coding RNA from Podarcis lilfordi (Lilford's wall lizard), 70 nucleotides. The record is from the annotation of a GenBank genome assembly. Lineage: Eukaryota; Metazoa; Chordata; Lepidosauria; Squamata; Lacertidae.